AAGAGCUUCACUCCCCUCACCGCCCUCCUUCACCAGGCUCCUUCGACCAGGGUAAUUCUUUGGGUUUAAAGGAGAAAGAAAAUUUGUUACAUUCCUUCCCACCCAGCCCCCGCCCCCAUCAGCCUCUUCAUCAAGCAAAACUGCAAACAGCACACCCCUGGCUCACCCCACCUUCAGAGCUGAGCUUCUGAGAGAGGUUUCAAUACUGUUCCAUGCUGCAGGAGGAGACAGCCUUAAACUCUGAAGGAUUUCAUCUCCGUUGCCCUUUACCCCCAGGGGAUUUAGAAACCUAGCAUUGACAGCAGCCAAAUGCAGGGCCAGGCUGGGCACAGAGGAACAUCACUCCCCCACCCCAUACAAUUCUCAGGGUAACUAUUUUAUUAUUGUAAGUACUAGUAUUCCUUUCCAUUUCAUUUCUAGAAAAUUCAGAAAGCACUUUCUGAAACAUAAUUUUUUUUUAAAUGUCAGUCAUACAUUUAGAAGUAAGGGGUUGACGGGAUUAACUGAAAGGCUAAUGACUGUCUCAAAAGCACAUGCGGUUGCUAGGGAACUCAAGCUCAUCCCGCUCUCUAAUCACCAGCGUGUUAGGUGGAACUCAAACUGCUCAGGGUGUUAUUAAAAUGAAUGGCAUUUGGUUAAAGACUUUCUUGCUAUGUUGUAGCAUCCUGGAUUAUUAUCGAUUGCCUCACACCCACAUAUCUUGUUUUCCUAAUUUGAUUUCUGUAUUUGCGUCACUGCCAGGGACACUCAGACUAGACCAGUCAGGUUCACUUCCUGUUUCUCAGAACUGGUUUAUAUUUGGUCUCAAAGCACUAGCUGGUAAAACAUUAUCAAACUGGUCCUCUUGGACAGAAACCUCUGCUUUCCGUUGAAAACAAAUUAUCCCAAUUAAAUGCUAACUCCCAUGGAAAACGUCAUCAUUUGAGGAAUAAGGUAGCCUGCCAACCUACUUUAUUAAGAAAUCCAUUCUUGAAAUGUAAAGCCAAAAAAAAAAAAAACCCACAUCAUCUUUAUUUCUUUUACCCAGAAUCUUCAGUCUUCAGCGUUGGAACUAAAACAAACUCAAGUAGAAAACAGAUUUAAAUAUGAUAUUUCUAAAAUGAAGCCCCCCAAAAAAUACACAUGGAAACUGGGGA
This 1136-nucleotide long non-coding RNA is filed under the name Marmota monax (woodchuck). The record is from RNAcentral. Lineage: Eukaryota; Metazoa; Chordata; Mammalia; Rodentia; Sciuridae.